UACGUAGGGUGCAAGCGUUAAUCGGAAUUACUGGGCGUAAAGCGUGCGCAGGCGGUGAUGUAAGACAGAUGUGAAAUCCCCGGGCUCAACCUGGGAACUGCAUUUGUGACUGCAUAGCUAGAGUACGGUAGAGGGGGAUGGAAUUCCGCGUGUAGCAGUGAAAUGCGUAGAUAUGCGGAGGAACACCGAUGGCGAAGGCAAUCCCCUGGACCUGUACUGACGCUCAUGCACGAAAGCGUGGGGAGCAAACAGG
RNAcentral lists this ribosomal RNA (253 nucleotides) under uncultured bacterium. RNAcentral describes it as "partial 16S ribosomal RNA". It matches the Rfam family "Bacterial small subunit ribosomal RNA", at positions 524 to 776 of the family's 1533-position model. The record is from RNAcentral.